GAAGCUGCUAAGGCUAUGGCGGAGAAGGCGAGACGGAGCACUGCGGAAAAGAUAAGGUUCAGAUGAGAAAAAUAAUAUGUGGCAGAGAAAGCAAAUGGUUGGUUGGAUCGUGUUUAAUCCAACGCGCGGCAUGCGAUCGGCCAAAUCACUCGGCCGGCGUGUCGUACAGAAACAUUUUCCAAAUAGAAAUCCAAAAAAAACAAUAAUAAGAGGACCGGACU
This 221-nucleotide long non-coding RNA is filed under the name Hordeum vulgare. RNAcentral describes it as "long non-coding RNA (HVUL_LNC016677)". The record is from RNAcentral. Lineage: Eukaryota; Viridiplantae; Streptophyta; Magnoliopsida; Poales; Poaceae.